GACGAACGCUGGCGGCGUGCUUAACACAUGCAAGUCGAGCGGUACGGCCCUUUCGGGGGUACACGAGCGGCGAACGGGUGAGUAACACGUGGGUGACCUGCCCUCAGCUCUGGGAUAAGCCUGGGAAACUGGGUCUAAUACCGGAUAUGACUCCAUGACGCAUGUUGUGGGGUGGAAAGCCUUGUGCGGCUGAGGAUGGGCCCGCGGCCUAUCAGCUUGUUGGUGGGGUGANGGCCUACCAAGGCGACGACGGGUAGCCGGCCUGAGAGGGCGACCGGCCACACUGGGACCGAGACACGGCCCAGACCUCCGUAC
Molecule: ribosomal RNA, 315 nt
Filed under: uncultured bacterium
Lineage: Bacteria
Description: bacterial SSU rRNA
Rfam family: Bacterial small subunit ribosomal RNA
Source: RNAcentral